This 346-nucleotide long non-coding RNA is filed under the name Ananas comosus (pineapple). RNAcentral describes it as "long non-coding RNA (ACOM_LNC042460)". Lineage: Eukaryota; Viridiplantae; Streptophyta; Magnoliopsida; Poales; Bromeliaceae. The record is from RNAcentral.
AUGAAAUGUCCGCCCGCUAUUCCUCAAUAUCACGUUGUCGGCCGCCAACGCGAUCUUGUAAGGACAUAGAGGUUAUUCAUUUCAAUCAAACUCCAACAGUUAUGGAGUUAUAAGUAUGACCCAAUCAUAAUACUUUCGCUCAAAACAGUCGCAAAAGACCACGUCUCUCACGCUCCUAAUCCUGAUCGUCCAACUGGCCUAAGGUUUACUAGGUCCACUAAGACUCAACCCUAGGCUCUGAUACCACUAUAAUCUGUCACGCCCUGGAUUUCAGCGAAAGCUCACCAGUCGCGUGCACAGACCCGCCGUGUACACCACAACUCAAGUAUACACCAGGCGUCUACAA